ACCGUCAGUGAUGAUUUAUUUACCUACAUUGCUUGAGUUUAACGACCAUGAGAAAACCUCACAUGCACUACCAUCUGAGACGGU
This is a small nucleolar RNA of Silurus meridionalis, 84 nucleotides long. The record is from RefSeq and is a predicted model, not a curated record. Lineage: Eukaryota; Metazoa; Chordata; Actinopteri; Siluriformes; Siluridae.